CGCCCGCGCAUGCGCUGUCCAGGGCCGACGCGGUUGUAUCAUGCUGAGAAGGAGCCGGGCGGGGGCCGGCGGGGCUGCGAGGGCCCUGUGAGGAGGGGCACCUGCCACUAGAAGCGGCCUCUGGGACGUCGCGCUGAGCCCUGCUUUGGAGUCAGAGGGGCUUUCCGCCUCGGUGAACUCGAGAGUAGCAACUCUCCUCCGGGUAACCGGAGUGCCACAGCGGGCAGGCGUCAUAAGGACAGGCCUCGGAGAGGAGAGGGGCUACCCGAGAAUGGCCUCAAAAGAUUGUCUGCCGUGGUGGCUUCUCACACAAGCCUGUACUUUCCUGUGGGAGAAUAUUUCCUAGGAGCCUAUAUUCCAGUUCAUCUCUGACGUCAUAAAUCAUGACUGUGUAGAAAGGCCAUAACAUGUGACACAUGGCAGCCAUUUUGGAGAUGGCCAGAUGAGAGGACAAUCAAUCCACAUGCCUAAAUGGAACCAACAGACAUGUGCCAGCUUGCUUCUCCAGCCUAUGUUCUCAGACACUUGUAGAAGACCAGAGGGAAAAUGGAAUCAGAAAAAACAGCAACAACAACAAAAAGCCAUCCAGGGCCAUGCACAGUGGCUCACUCCUGUAAUCCCAACAGUUUGGGAGGCCAAGGCAGGUGGAUUGCUUGAGCUCAGCAGUUUAAGACCAGCCUGGGCAACAUGGCGAAACCCUUUCUCUACUAAAUACAAAAACUAGCUGGGUGUGGUGGCAUGCACCUGUAGUCCCAGCUACUCGGGAGGCUGAGGUGGGAGGAUCACCUGAGCCUGGGAGGUUGAAGCUGCAGUGAGCUGUGAUGGUGCCACUGCACUCCCACCUGGGUGACAGAGCAAGACCCUGUCUCAAAAAAACAAAACUAAACAAAAAAAUCCAUGUGGGAAAAGGCCCAAUCAGAGCCAACUCACUGCUGGGAUUAGUAGAAAUGAUUAGUCACCAGAAGGCAAAUCGUGGAAGAAUGAAGAGAUGACAGGACCUCAGGAACUACACCCAGAGGUGUAGUUGUGCCGUAGGCAAAGCAUCAUGCCGGUCAUCCCCAAGAAAGGGAGAAGGGGUAGAGCUCAGACUCUUCCCUGCUUCCCCAUAAGUCCAGUUUACCCUGGGCUGAUCCUUUCAGCAUGGCAGCCUCCGUGGGGAGGCACGAGAUCCAAAGAUGAAGAUGUCUAUGGGGGUGAAGAAGAAUGGCAAACUUUGCAGGCAAGAGUAGGCAUUAGAGAGAUCAGAGGAGGAAGACAAUAGAGAAGGAUGACACAGGACAGGCUGUAUCUAGAGGAUAUAAUGCCAUGGACUUUGGACUAUUCCAGAGAGGCUGAGAGACCUGUCUCCUGCCUACAAGGCUCCUUGAACUCUGCACCCUUCUUUUUGCUAAAGUGCUGCUGAGGCCUGUCUCACUUCCCAAUGAAAAGCAACUCAGGAAAUUGGCUUCCUGCCCCACUCCUUCUUUGGGAGAGAGAAACAGAACUGAAGAGGAAGGAAGGAAGCCCAAAGAAACAGAGGCUUUCUUUCCUGGCUGAGAUUUGUUGGCACUGCCCACUAACAUAGAGAAUAAGGUGGUUCCCUAAGCGAGCCUUAAGCUGGCAUGAGGCUACAAACAAGUGAUUGUAUCUUCGUUCUGCUCAGCAGCCUACCUGGGCUGGCCUGGACAACCUCAAUUGUAUACUGAGGUCUUAAGCUGGCCAUGGCCCUUGGUAAAGCAGGAGAAAGGAAUAAGGCUGGAAGGUACAGAAUUUGCUUGAUGCCUUGCCUACAUAAUUCCUUUGCUGUUGCAACUGGCAACUCUUUGCUUGCAUUAUAUGAAAAAAAGGCGGUAAAAAAUUGUCAGAAAUGUUUGCCACCAGCCUAACCCCACUGCCCAUGCAUUGCUCCCAAGAAAGCUAAUUAAGGCCCAUUGCUAUUAGAGUUACAUGAUUCUGAAGGCUUGUUAUGACAAGAAAAAAUAAUGAAGACAUGGUUCCUCCAAGUCAUAAGCAUCCAAGUCAAAACAUACUGCAUCCCAGGCGAGUGUGGUGGCUCACGCCUGUAAUCCCAGCACUUCGGGAGGCCAAGGCAGCCGGAUCACGAGGUCAGGAGUUCGAGACCAGCCUUGCCAAGAUGAUGAAACCCCGUCUCUACUAAAAAUACAAAAAUUAGCCAGGCAUGGUGGCGGGCGCCUGUACUCCCAGCUACUCAGGAAGCUGAGGCAGGAGAAUCGCUUGAAACCGGGAGGCGGAGGUUGCAAUGAGCCGAGAUCACACCACUGCACUGUACCCUGGGCGUCAGAGCAAGACUCCAUCUCAAAAAAAAAAGAAAAAAACAUCCUGCAUCCCUUGUUCCUUUGUGUUCCCCUAGACAAGCCUCUGGGCUGGCUUUGCCUAUCUCAUGCAUGCAGGCAGUCAUCCUCCUUUGGCCAGUGCAUACCUGACUCCUACUCAGUGCCAGGCCUGGAGAAGACUGUGAGACCUGCCCUUGAGGAGUUCUGUUUGCAGGAAGAGAGUGAUAGGCACACAAAUUAUUUCCAAUAAACUACAGAAAAUGUCACCAGAAUCUCUAUUGUGAUCAUGUCCCCCACCCAUGUCUGUUUCAUAGAUUGGGGGAGAACAGGCCCGGGUGGAAAGUCAUGCACUUAUGCCCUCUCCUGACCAGCCCACAUGUCCUACCCCAGCCAACAGUGGUUCAGGCAUGACUCUGACUGCUCAUGGGAAAGAGCAGCUUGCUCA
RNAcentral lists this long non-coding RNA (2718 nucleotides) under Homo sapiens (human). RNAcentral's name for it is "HSALNT0054351". The record is from RNAcentral. Lineage: Eukaryota; Metazoa; Chordata; Mammalia; Primates; Hominidae.